RNAcentral lists this ribosomal RNA (397 nucleotides) under uncultured bacterium. Its description in RNAcentral is "bacterial SSU rRNA". It matches the Rfam family "Bacterial small subunit ribosomal RNA", at positions 358 to 771 of the family's 1533-position model. The record is from RNAcentral.
CGAAUCUUCCGCAAUGCACGAAAGUGUGACGGAGCAAUGCCGCGUGUGGGAUGAAGCGGCUACGCCGUGUAAACCACUGUCAGGGUCUAGGAAGAACAGACCAGACCCAGAGGAAGGGCCGGCUAAUCUCGUGCCAGCAGCCGCGGUAAUACGAGAGGCCCAAGCGUUAGACGGAAUCACUGGGCUUAAAGCGUGCGUAGGCGGAUGCGUAAGCGUGUUGUGAAAUCCCACAGCUCAACUGUGGAACUGCGAUGCGAACUGCGUAUCUUGAGGAAGGUAGGGGUCAGUGGAACGUUCGGUGGAGCGGUGAAAUGCGUAGAUAUCGAACGGAACGCCAAUGGUGAAGACAACUGACUGGGCCUUUCCUGACGCUGAGGCACGAAAGCGUGGGGAGCAA